RNA transcript from Piliocolobus tephrosceles (Ugandan red Colobus), 2495 nucleotides. It is a transcript of the gene named peptide chain release factor 1-like, mitochondrial pseudogene, with no coding region annotated. Lineage: Eukaryota; Metazoa; Chordata; Mammalia; Primates; Cercopithecidae. The transcript has a single exon. The record is from RefSeq and is a predicted model, not a curated record.
CCGGCUUUUGUGGGGCGCUGCCCGGUGGCUCUGGCCCCGUGGGGCCAUUGGCCCAGCCCGCCGGCCCCUGAGCUCCAGUAGCCCGCCGCUGCAGGAGCUGUUCGCCCGGGGCGGGCCCUUGCGGACCUUCCUCCAGCGCCAGGGAGGGGUCUGAAGCCCAUUUGAAGGUCAGGAGGCCGGAGUUGGCGGCAGUGAUCAAACUGCUGAACGAGAAGGAGCAGGAGCUGCGGGAGACCGAGCCCUUGCUGCACGAUGAGAAUGAAGAUUUAAGGAAACUUGCAGAGAAUGAAAUAACUCUGUGUCAAAAAGAAAUAACUCAGCUGAAGCAUCAGAUUAUCUUACUUUUGGUUCCCUCAGAAGAAACAGAUGAAAAUGAUUUGAUCCUGGAAGUAACUGCAGGAGUUGGAGGUCAGGAGGCAAUGUUGUUUACUUCAGAGAUAUUUGAUAUGUAUCAACAAUAUGCUGCAUUUAAAAGACGACAUUUUGAAACCCUGGAAUAUUUUCCAAGUGAAAUAGGUGGCCUUAGACAUGCAUCUGCCAGCAUUGGGAGUUCAGAAGCCUAUAGGCACACGAAAUUUGAAGGAGGUGUGCACAGAGUACAAAGAGUGCCAAAGACAGAAAAGCAAGGCCGCAUCCAUACUAGCACCAUGACUGUAGCGAUAUUACCCCAGCCUACUGAGAUUAAUCUCGUGAUUAAUCCGAAAGAUUUGAGAAUUGACACUAAGCGAGCCAGUGGAGCUGGGGGGCAGCAUGUAAAUACCACAGACAGUGCUGUCCGGAUAGUUCAUCUUCCAACAGGUGUUAUUUCUGAAUGUCAACAAGAGAGAUCUCAACUGAAAAAUAGAGAGCUGGCUAUGACAAAGUUACGUGCAAAACUGUACAGCAUGCAUCUAGAAAAAGAAACAAAAGACAGAAUGCUAGAAAAAUUCAGAUUGGAAGUAAAGGAAGAUCAGAGAAAAUAAGAACAUAUAAUUUGCCACAGAACCAGGUCACAGAUCACAGAAUAAGCAAGACACUGGAUGAUCUUGAAACUUUUAUGCAAGGAGAUUAUCUGCUGGGUGAACUUGUACAGUCAUUGAAGGAAUACGCCGAUUAUGAAUCUUUAGUAGAAAUUAUUUCCCAAAAAGUUUAAGUUGAUUUGUUAUUUAUAGACUUUUGUAGCUUAGAAAAAUUCUACAGCAUAUCCACAUAGGGUGAAAAUACCCUUAUUCUCUUAAAAACCAUGAGUUAACACAGUUGGAGGUAAUAUGCGUAUUUUGAACUCAUAGAUCAUUUACACAGAUCUCUCUCAAUGCAUUAGCAAAAAUCAUACAAUAUACAGAUGGUCCUCGAUUUACAUUGUGGUUAAUUCCCAGUAAACCCAUCAUAAGUUAAAAAUGCAUAUAACGUUAGCAACAUAGCAGCCUCCUACUUAAUGACAGCUUGAUGUAACAAUUUUCCAAUUUUACCAUGGUAUGGAAGAGGCAUGAUUUGUAAGUCCUAAGGAGCUCCUCAGCUUGAAAUGGGGCUGCAUCCCUAUAAACCCAUCGUAAAGUCAAAAAAUCCUAAAACCAUCAUAAGUUGGUGACCACCUGUAAUCAUGAUGUAGUGGUAAAUCUUGGACACUUCCUUACAAUAAGUAGACAAAGGAAAAUCAUCCUUUGUCCUGUUCUGUGUAAGUAUUUAAUGAAUGAUCAAAAAUUCAGUUCAAAUAUUAUGAAAAACUUUAAACAUAAAAUAGUAGAAAUAUGACAGUAAAUACUGUAUCCUGAUAUCUAGUCAGGAGACAGAAACCAUAACCUUAACUUGUACAGGGAUAAUUUUAAUAUAAAAAACUGUUAACUGAUAAUGGUAUUAGCUUUUAAGAGGGAUGAAAGAGAGCUACGAUGUUCUAGGACUGAGAGUACCCAAGUUAAGAAUACCCUUGAAAGGGGCUCUCCUUACCCAUGGUGAAGUCAGGCCUAAUGGAGAGAGAGUGGCUAUAGCCUACUCAGUGAUGGGGAAAUUCCCUGUCUUGCCUUGGGCCAGAGCUGGUGUACAGCUGGUGGAUCAGGUCUUACACGCAAAGAACCUCACACCCUCUACUGGUAAGCCAGAAGCCUCUUGCUAGGGUGUGAGCAAAACUUGGACAGGAACUCUCAGUAGAUGUUUGUGUUUGUCAAGAUUCUCCAGACAAACUCCCUUAAAAGGAUGGGCUUGUGUGAUUAUUAUUAAGUCUAACAAGUCCAAAAGCUGGAGUGUGAGGCAGGAGGCUGGAGACCCAGGAAAGCUGAUGGUGCAGGUCCAGUCCAAAGGUAUCUGUUGGAGGAUCCUCUUGUUCUUGGAAGAGGACAGUCAUUUUUUCUCCUCAAACCUUCACCUGACUGGAUCAAGCCCACUAACAUUGAGGAGGGCAGUCUGCAUUACUCAAAGUUCACUGAUUUAAAUGUCAAUCUCAUGUAAAAACACCCUCACAGAAACACCUAGCAUAAUGUUUGACCUUAUAAUUGGAAAAUCAGAGCAGAAGUUAAAUCUCU